This 403-nucleotide ribosomal RNA is filed under the name uncultured organism. Its description in RNAcentral is "bacterial SSU rRNA". It matches the Rfam family "Bacterial small subunit ribosomal RNA", at positions 355 to 775 of the family's 1533-position model. The record is from RNAcentral.
UGGGGAAUCUUGGACAAUGGGCGCAAGCCUGAUCCAGCCAUGCCGCGUGAGUGAAGAAGGCCUUCGGGUUGUAAAGCUCUUUUACCAGGGACGAUAAUGACGGUACCUGGAGAAUAAGCCCCGGCAAACUUCGUGCCAGCAGCCGCGGUAAUACGAAGGGGGCUAGCGUUGUUCGGAAUUACUGGGCGUAAAGCGCACGUAGGCGGAUUGUUAAGUCAGAGGUGAAAUCCCGGAGCUCAACUUCGGAACUGCCUUUGAUACUGGCAAUCUAGAGUCCGGAAGAGGUUAGUGGAAUUCCCAGUGUAGAGGUGAAAUUCGUAGAUAUUGGGAAGAACACCAGUGGCGAAGGCGGCUAACUGGUCCGGUACUGACGCUGAGGUGCGAAAGCGUGGGGAGCAAACAG